This 396-nucleotide ribosomal RNA is filed under the name Bifidobacterium longum subsp. longum. RNAcentral's name for it is "bacterial LSU rRNA". It matches the Rfam family "Bacterial large subunit ribosomal RNA", at positions 990 to 1388 of the family's 2925-position model. The record is from RNAcentral. Lineage: Bacteria; Bacillati; Actinomycetota; Actinomycetes; Bifidobacteriales; Bifidobacteriaceae.
GGUGAGUGAUAAGAUCCAUCGUGGAAAGGGGAACAGCCCAGAUCAUCAGCUAAGGUCCCUAAAUCUAUGCUAAGUGGAAAAGGAUGUGGAGUUGCGUAGACAACUAGGAUGUUGGCUCAGAAGCAGCCAUCAUUUAAAGAGUGCGUAAUAGCUCACUAGUCGAGUGACGCUGCGCCGAAAAUGUACCGGGGCUAAGCAUAUUACCGAAGCUAUGGAUGCAUCCAUUAGGAUGCGUGGUAGGAGAGCGUUCCAAGGGCGAUGAAGUCAGACCGUAAGGACUGGUGGAGCGCUUGGCAGUGAGAAUGCCGGUAUGAGUAGCGAAAGAUAGGUGAGAAUCCUAUCCGCCGAAAGACUAAGGUUUCCUGGGGCAGGCUCGUCCGCCCAGGGUAAGUCGGG